This is a long non-coding RNA of Etheostoma spectabile (orangethroat darter), 85 nucleotides long. RefSeq lists it as uncharacterized. The transcript is spliced from 3 exons. Lineage: Eukaryota; Metazoa; Chordata; Actinopteri; Perciformes; Percidae. The record is from RefSeq and is a predicted model, not a curated record.
UCCUGUUGUCUUUGGGUCAGAUUUGACCCCUUUUCAAAAGGUUUCUAUGUCAGAAAUUUGGGGUUCUUUCUACCAAAUUGUAAAA